UGGGGAAUUUUGGACAAUGGGCGAAAGCCUGAUCCAGCAAUGCCGCGUGUGUGAAGAAGGCCUUCGGGUUGUAAAGCACUUUUGUCCGGAAAGAAAUCCUUGGCUCUAAUACAGUCGGGGGAUGACGGUAACCGGAAGAAUAAGCACCGGCUAACUACGUGCCAGCAGCCGCGGUAAUACGUAGGGUGCAAGCGUUAAUCGGAAUUACUGGGCGUAAAGCGUGCGCAGGCGGUUUGCUAAGAACCGAUGUGAAAUCCCCGGGCUCAACCUGGGAACUGCAUUGGUGACUGGCAGGCUAGAGUAUGGCAGAGGGGGUAGAAUUCCACGUGUAGCAGUGAAAUGCGUAGAGAUGUGGAGGAAUACCGAUGGCGAAGGCAGCCCCUGGGCCAAAUACUGACGCUCAUGCACGAAAAGCGUGGGGAGCAAACAGGAUUAGAUACCCUGGUAGUCCACGCCCUAAACGAUGUCAACUAGUUGUUGGGGAUUCAUUUCCUUAGUAACGUAGCU
RNAcentral lists this ribosomal RNA (507 nucleotides) under uncultured bacterium. RNAcentral's name for it is "partial 16S ribosomal RNA". It matches the Rfam family "Bacterial small subunit ribosomal RNA", at positions 355 to 853 of the family's 1533-position model. The record is from RNAcentral.